This 253-nucleotide ribosomal RNA is filed under the name uncultured bacterium. RNAcentral describes it as "partial 16S ribosomal RNA". It matches the Rfam family "Bacterial small subunit ribosomal RNA", at positions 524 to 776 of the family's 1533-position model. The record is from RNAcentral.
UACAGAGGGUGCAAGCGUUAAUCGGAAUUACUGGGCGUAAAGCGUGCGUAGAUGGUCAUGUAAGUCGGGUGUGAAAGCCCCGGGCUCAACCUGGGAAUUGCAUUCGAGACUGCAUGGCUAGGGUGCGGAAGAGGGAAGCGGAAUUUCCGGUGUAGCGGUGAAAUGCGUAGAUAUCGGAAGGAACAUCAGUGGCGAAAGCGGCUUCCUGGUCCAGCACCGACGUUCAGGCACGAAAGCGUGGGGAGCAAACAGG